GAAAUGACUCUCCUAAUCACAGUAAAUUGUUACUGUGGUCCUUCUAAAAGUAAAAUUUUUAAUGCAGAGUUUUGGCACUUCAACCCCAACAUUAUCAAAAAUAUACUAGUUAUGCAUUGGUCCUUUCAUAUUAUCAUUUUUUUCACUCUCUGUUUUAUAAAUGACUGUGAUAUUCACAUUUAAAAUAUAUAUUCAUUUUAUCAAAACAAAUAGACAAAAUAUAGAAUUGAAUGAAAUUUCAGUGAGAUUGCGAGGUCCUUGAGUUGACCAUUUAUGAUGAUUGACUGUCACUUUAAAAAAAGAAAACAAUCAUGCAAGCAAACCCUUAAAACUCUUUCACAACGCCACAACAGAUCACAAUGGCUACAUUUUAUAAGUACACGCAAGCUUUAAAACACACAAUUAUCUGUCAAUUUAUUGGUCUAAAAUCAUAUUCAGUGUUUUAUUUAUAUAAAAUCUUCACAUAGAGUGUAAAUGAACAUUAGUGCACAUUCAGGGGCUCUUAAAGUUGAACGAAAAUAAGAAUGGAAAGAAAACCGUGUUGUAAAUGGAAAAAUGUUUUUCAAAAGACAUUAAGAAGUCAUGUGCUCUGUUAUUGUAUGUUACUGCCAUGACCUCAGUUUUGAGCUGCAGAGAUAUGAGAAAUGUGUUGCACCACUUGCUGGAAUGUCAUAGAGUCAUUGCGGCAGUGUGGCGAGAUCAGAGAUGGAAAUUCUGUGCAAAACGUGUGUGUGUGUGUGUGUGUGUGUGUGUGUGUGUGUGUGUGUAGGCUAAUGUAUUUUCCUAUACCUCAUCACAGACCACAGCUGGACAGAUCCUGAAGACAAGAGUGUAUGGAGGGUGUGUUGUCUGUAGACUGUAGCAUGCUUGACUUCGACAAACAAGAGUGACCCACAACAGCAUCCUAGCAAGGUGAAGUGUGUAAUUUCUGUGCCAGUACUAGCACCAUCUAAUGUGAUUGCAAAAUUAAUGAUUGAUUCCAAACUGGGGUUUUUUUCCACUCCUUUUCUGUUGUUAUUCAAACUUGGCUAAAUGUUUAGAAUUGAAUAUUUAAUACUACUAUGCAGUAUGCAGUGUAUAUUCUAUGAUUUUAAUCAAUUGGUGUGUAAAAAUUUGUUCAAAUAAUGAGGCAAAAAGGAAUUAUAAAAAUGAUAGUUGAUAUUGCUACCAGUUUGUUCAUCAAAUUGGAUGUAAAGUCAAUUUAAUUGCAUUAAUGGUAUGUUGUAUACUGCACAUUUUGCAAUUGUAGUACAUUAAGUUAUUCUAUACAUACAGAAAUUUGCUAGUAUGUAUAAAUCAGGAAGUGACGUCGACUAAUCUUCUAC
Molecule: long non-coding RNA, 1325 nt
Organism: Cyprinus carpio carpio
Lineage: Eukaryota; Metazoa; Chordata; Actinopteri; Cypriniformes; Cyprinidae
Source: Ensembl